CCUACGGGCGGCUGCAGUGGGGAAUAUUGGACAAUGGGCGAAAGCCUGAUCCAGCCAUGCCGCGUGUGUGAAGAAGGCCUUCGGGUUGUAAAGCACUUUCAGUGGGGAAGAAAGCCUUGGGGCUAAUACCCUCGAGGAAGGACAUCACCCACAGAAGAAGCACCGGCUAACUCCGUGCCAGCAGCCGCGGUAAUACGGAGGGUGCGAGCGUAAUCGGAAUUACUGGGCGUAAAGCGCGCGUAGGCGGUCUGAUAAGCCGGUUGUGAAAGCCCCGGGCUCAACCUGGGAACGGCAUCCGGAACUGUCAGGCUAGAGUGCAGGAGAGGAAGGUAGAAUUCCCGGUGUAGCGGUGAAAUGCGUAGAGAUCGGGAGGAAUACCAGUGGCGAAGGCGGCCUUCUGGACUGACACUGACGCUGAGGUGCGAAAGCGUGGGUAGCAAACAGGAUUAGAUACCCGGGUAGUC
This 464-nucleotide ribosomal RNA is filed under the name Vreelandella stevensii. RNAcentral's name for it is "partial 16S ribosomal RNA". It matches the Rfam family "Bacterial small subunit ribosomal RNA", at positions 338 to 795 of the family's 1533-position model. The record is from RNAcentral. Lineage: Bacteria; Pseudomonadati; Pseudomonadota; Gammaproteobacteria; Oceanospirillales; Halomonadaceae.